RNAcentral lists this ribosomal RNA (465 nucleotides) under uncultured bacterium. Its description in RNAcentral is "partial 16S ribosomal RNA". It matches the Rfam family "Bacterial small subunit ribosomal RNA", at positions 28 to 507 of the family's 1533-position model. The record is from RNAcentral.
GACGAACGCUGGCGGCGUGCUUAACACAUGCAAGUCGAACGGAAAGGCCCCUUUGGGGGUACUCGAGUGGCGAACGGGUGAGUAACACGUGAGUAACCUGCCCUUGACUUCGGGAUAACUUCAGGAAACUGGGGCUAAUACCGGAUAGGAAUCCUUGCUGCGUGGGGGGGGUUGGAAAGCUUCGGCGGGUUUGGAUGGACUCGCGGCUCAUCAGCUUGUUUGUGGGGUAGUGGCUUACCAAGGCUUUGACGGGUAGCCGGCCUGGGAGGGCGAGCGGCCACAUUGGGACUGAGAUACGGCCCAGACUCCUACGGGAGGCAGCAGUGGGGAAUAUUGCACAAUGGGCGGAAGCCUGAUGCAGCAACGCCGCGUGCGGGAUGACGGCCUUCGGGUUGUAAACCGCCUUCAGCAGGGGAGAAGCUUGUGGUGACGGUACCUGCAGAAGAAGCACCGGCUAACUACGUG